RNAcentral lists this unclassified non-coding RNA (274 nucleotides) under fungal sp. RNAcentral describes it as "partial internal transcribed spacer region". The stretch from base 1 to 46 matches the Rfam family "Eukaryotic small subunit ribosomal RNA", at positions 1786 to 1831 of the family's 1831-position model. The record is from RNAcentral. Lineage: Eukaryota; Fungi.
AAGUCGUAACAAGGUUUCCGUAGGUGAACCUGCGGAAGGAUCAUUAGCGUAGAUGUGCUGCCGGUGGCAUGUGCGAAAGCACGGCCCCGCUGCACACAACACACACACACCUUGUGAACCAGGAACCGUGUGCUCGGCACGACUGGAGGCACGCAAGUGUCGCCAGUCUGUCGUCCUAAACAUUUGACAAAUACAGUUAAUUGACGUUAUAGUGUGCUUCGGCACGAUCUAUCAACCAAACACACAACUUUUAACAAUGGAUCUCUAGGCUCCU